RNAcentral lists this ribosomal RNA (497 nucleotides) under uncultured bacterium. RNAcentral's name for it is "partial 16S ribosomal RNA". It matches the Rfam family "Bacterial small subunit ribosomal RNA", at positions 28 to 507 of the family's 1533-position model. The record is from RNAcentral.
GAUGAACGCUGGCGGCGUGCCUAAUACAUGCAAGUCGAGCGAACAGACGAGGAGCUUGCUCCUCUAACGUUAGCGGCGGACGGGUGAGUAACACGUGGAUAACCUACCUAUAAGACUGGGAUAACUUCGGGAAACCGGAGCUAAUACCGGAUAAUAUAUUGAACCGCAUGGUUCAAUAGUGAAAGACGGUUUUGCUGUCACUUAUAGAUGGAUCCGCGCCGCAUUAGCUAGUUGGUAAGGUAACAGCUUACCAAGGCAACGAUGCGUAGCCGACCUGAGAGAGUGAUCGGCCACACUGGAACUGAGACACGGUCCAGACUCCUACGGGAGGCAGCAGUAGGGAAUCUUCCGCAAUGGGCGAAAGCCUGACGGAGCAACGCCGCGUGAGUGAUGAAGGUCUUCGGAUCGUAAAACUCUGUUAUUAGGGAAGAACAAAUGUGUAAGUAACUAUGCACGUCUUGACGGUACCUAAUCAGAAAGCCACGGCUAACUACGUG